CUGGCGGCAAGACUACACAUAGCAAGUCGAGCGGAUGAAGGGAGCUUGCUCCCUGAUUUAGCGGCGGACGGGUGAGUAAUGCCUAGGAAUCUGCCUGGUAGUGGGGGAUAACGUUCCGAAAGGAACGCUAAUACCGCGUACGUCCUACGGGAGAAAGCAGGGGACCUUCGGGCCUUGCGCUAUCAGAUGAGCCUAGGUCGGAUUAGCUAGUUGGUGAGGUAAUGGCUCACCAAGGCGACGAUCCGUAACUGGUCUGAGAGGAUGAUCAGUCACACUGGAACUGAGACACGGUCCAGACUCCUACGGGAGGCAGCAGUGGGGAAUAUUGGACAAUGGGCGAAAGCCUGAUCCAGCCAUGCCGCGUGUGUGAAGAAGGUCUUCGGAUUGUAAAGCACUUUAAGUUGGGAGGAAGGGCUGCUGGUUAAUACCCUGCAGUUUUGACGUUAACA
RNAcentral lists this ribosomal RNA (449 nucleotides) under Ectopseudomonas oleovorans. RNAcentral's name for it is "bacterial SSU rRNA". It matches the Rfam family "Bacterial small subunit ribosomal RNA", at positions 36 to 480 of the family's 1533-position model. Lineage: Bacteria; Pseudomonadati; Pseudomonadota; Gammaproteobacteria; Pseudomonadales; Pseudomonadaceae. The record is from RNAcentral.